RNAcentral lists this long non-coding RNA (1180 nucleotides) under Anas platyrhynchos platyrhynchos (common mallard). RNAcentral describes it as "lncRNA (ENSAPLG00000016915.1)". The record is from RNAcentral. Lineage: Eukaryota; Metazoa; Chordata; Aves; Anseriformes; Anatidae.
UAAGCAUAGAUUCAGCACAGAAGACAAGUUUCAACAAAAUACCUUAUUGUUUGGAAGCAGUUCUACCUGAUAGCACUACUUCAGGUGCACUUAAUCUUAAGGUAAUUCUAGUAUUAACUGCAUAUUAGAAGAGUAGGAAUCCAGGCAUCAUGAGUCACUAUUUAUAAUCUGCAGCAGAUGUGUAUAAAAUCAAUAGCUAAUGGACAGCAUGGUCUUGCAGUGAAUUAGGAGCAGAGUGUGAAAAUGUCAGUUUCUCUUCAGUGUCUCUGCCAGCUGAGAUCAGAUGAAAUUUCAACAGUUCUUCCUCUGUUCAUCAAAACUAGAUUUUAUAUAUAAACUUGCAGUAGGAAGGCACGUCAGAAAAAUAGCUACUUCUGUGUUUAAAUCCCCAUUUUUAUUCAUCCAACAAAACCAUACCUGUUAGCAAGAAUGGAAUAUCUAUAUAGAGAAGGAGGAGAUGUCAAGAUCAAGCACAGAGUCAUGUGAAUUCUUCCUCUGCUAGCAGGAGAAGGGAAAAAUGAUCAGUGUAAAUCCUUGGCUGUUUUGCUGCAAGUUUGUCAUUAUGGUAAUGAGUGAUGCAAGGACACUGUUAGACUUUGCCAUAUUUCUUAAUGCUUACUAUUUAUUGUAGUCCCUAGAGGCUCUAACAGGAAUGAUGAGCUGAUGCAGCACAACUGGGAGGCUGAUGGGGGCUGCAGUAUGAGGAAAUGGUCUUGGGUUCCUUAGUAAGACCAGGAUUGCUUAUUGCCUUCUAACUUCUAUAGAGGUUGCAGCUGCUGAGGAGGAGCAGGAGAGCACAGCUAUCACACUUGGUGGGUUCAAGGGCUUUGUGUGGUGAGCUGGAACUCAGAACUUUGGUCUGUCCGUGGCAAGGAAGUUCUUUCCUUGCAUGGUACAUAACAACUACACACUCAUUACUGAAGUGGAAUUCAAAAAAAGAUGAGGACUGAUAUGCAGACUACUGUGAAAACAAAAAGAUGGUAUGGGAAGAUAGUGAUCCUGAGGGAUAUGUUAUCUCCACCUUUUGAAGCUGUUCAAUAUUGCAUGACUAAGAGCGAGUUUGGUCUAAAAAUCACAUCCACUGACUUCCAGGUAAUCAUCUGAAAUUAUGACCAUCAGCCUCUGACACAUACUUUCUGUAAGUUCAUUGCUGACUGAUCAUGCACAUGCUCCUGGCAGC